CCUACGGGUGGCAGCAGUCGGGAAUAUUGCGCAAUGGAGGAAACUCUGACGCAGUGACGCCGCGUAUAGGAAGAAGGUUUUCGGAUUGGAAACUCUCGUUGUUAGGGAAGAUAAAAGACUGUACCUAAGGACGAAGCCCCGGCUAACUAUGUGCCAGCAGCCGCGGUAAUAGAUAGGGGGCAAGUGUUAUCCGGAAUUAUUGGGUGUAAAGGGUGCGUAGACGGGAGAACAAGUUGGUUGUGAAAUCACUGGGCUAAACUGAGGAACUGCAACCAAAACUAUUCUCCUUGAGUGUCGGAGAGGAAAGUGGAAUUCCUGGUGUAGCGGUGAAAUGCGUAGAUAUGAGGAGGAACACCAGUGGCGAAGGCGACUUUCUGGACGAUAACUGACGUUGAGGCACGAAAGUGUGGGGAGCAAACAGGAUUAGAUACCCUUGUAGUC
Molecule: ribosomal RNA, 441 nt
Filed under: uncultured bacterium
Lineage: Bacteria
Description: partial 16S ribosomal RNA
Rfam family: Bacterial small subunit ribosomal RNA
Source: RNAcentral